AAUUGAGAGACCUGGCAGGGUAUCUGACCAGUCUUUUGUUGAGCUAGCUGGGCAGGCUUGAGCUCCGAGGAUCAAACUGGGGAGCAAUGGGAGAAUUCUGGAGAGAGACUGCUGAUGGAGGGAAGAGAACCGAGCCCUAACCUCUGUAUCCUUCCCUCCACAGAAGCAGCCAUCCAUCCAGAAGCAGCCUCCGUGUUCCAUUUGUCCGGAUGUCAUCGUAGGUGGCCGGCAUCUCUGGCUUUGGGGCAGACAUCCAGAUCUGAUGAGGCAUGGCUGCCCCGGGAUUACUGGGCUCGGACGGGAGCAGUGGUAGGAAGGAUCCUAUGUAAGUCAUGUGAGACAUAGAAUGUUCAGAUCAACUGAAGCUGAAACAAGCCUUUGGCAUCAUAUAUAACCCAGAAAGGGACACAGCUGCAGGUUCCUUGAAUGCUUGGUUUA
This 438-nucleotide long non-coding RNA is filed under the name Mus caroli (Ryukyu mouse). RNAcentral describes it as "lncRNA (MGP_CAROLIEiJ_G0005670.1)". The record is from RNAcentral. Lineage: Eukaryota; Metazoa; Chordata; Mammalia; Rodentia; Muridae.